CCUACGGGUGGCAGCAGUGGGGGAUAUUGCACAAUGGGGGGAACCCUGAUGCAGCGACGCCGCGUGGGUGAAGAAGCGCCUCGGCGCGUAAAGCUCUGUCAGCAGGGAAGAAAUUGACGGUACCUGUAGAAGAAGCCCCGGCUAACUCCGUGCCAGCAGCCGCGGUAAUACGUGGGGGGCAAGCGUUAUCCGGAUUUACUGGGUGUAAGGGGGGCGCAGACGGCGAGGCAAGCCAGGAGUGAAAGCCCGGGGCCCAACCCCGGGACUGCCCUUGGAACUGCGUGGCUGGAGUGCAGGAGGGGCAGGCGGAAUUCCUGGUGUAGCGGUGAAAUGCGUAGAUAUCAGGAGGAACACCGGUGGCGAAGGCGGCCUGCUGGACUGCAACUGACGUUGAGGCCCGAAAGCGUGGGGAGCAAACAGGAUUAGAUACCCCUGUAGUC
RNAcentral lists this ribosomal RNA (440 nucleotides) under uncultured bacterium. RNAcentral's name for it is "partial 16S ribosomal RNA". It matches the Rfam family "Bacterial small subunit ribosomal RNA", at positions 338 to 795 of the family's 1533-position model. The record is from RNAcentral.